UUGAAUUGAACUUUAUCUUCUCGUCUAGAAUCAGGUAAGGUGCGGUGGUGUGUGACAUUCUUCUACGGGUCUCUGCUACUAAGUAUGGGCUCCUCUGAUGCACAAGGCUGGACAUGUGGUUUAUUUCAGUGUUUAAUCAUACUCUCGUAUGCUUUGUGAUGGUGGACUGUGCCACUGGGGAGUUUCUCUACAUAAUUUUGCCAUGUUAUUGAAAGUUGUUUCAGGUUCAAAGUAAGAGUUGCUGAUCUUCCUAGUGAGGCUAACUAAUUGGUGUCUUCUUUUUUCCUUGUAGAGGUUCUAUAAGAGAAAAGCUGCUAGCUAGCUCUACCAAUAUGAUUCACACAAGUCAUAGAAGAGAGAACGUUGAGCCAUUAUAAUGGCGACAAGAGAGCAAACAAGUCAGAGAGCGAGAGGUAUCCCAACAAGUUCGUGUUCUUCUAUAUCCUCUGCUUCAUCAUUUGUCUGAGUGAUGAGUUAAGAUAUGAGUACUAAAGAAUCAUUUUUUGUUCCAUUUGAGGUUGAUUAAAAGUCGUCUGAUACAGCUAUGGCAAGAAAACUAGUCACACAGUUAUCUCAAGCCAAAGGCAAUCAUCAAAAAAAGCUGUUUGGCUGCUCCAGCUUUGCCUGCAGUGCACGGCGCCAUCAAAGAAAUUAAAAAGUAAAGUCUGCUUCUUAGAAUUGAAUAU
Molecule: non-coding RNA, 686 nt
Organism: Camelina sativa (false flax)
Lineage: Eukaryota; Viridiplantae; Streptophyta; Magnoliopsida; Brassicales; Brassicaceae
Source: RefSeq, a predicted model, not a curated record